GACGAACGCUGGCGGCGUGCUUAACACAUGCAAGUCGAACGAGACGAUUGAAAGCUUGCUUUUAAAAGUCGAGUGGCAAACGGGUGAGUAACGCGUAGACAACCUGCCUUUGAGAUGGGGACAACAGUUCGAAAGGACUGCUAAUACCGAAUGUUGUAUAUUUUCAACAUGGAAGAUAUAUUAAAGAUUGCCUCUAUUUAUAAGCUCUCGCUCAAAGAUGGGUCUGCGUCUGAUUAGCUGGUUGGUGGGGUAACGGCCUACCAAGGCGACGAUCAGUAGCCGGUCUGAGAGGAUGAACGGACACAUUGGGACUGAGACACGGCCCAGACUCCUACGGGAGGAAGCAGUGGGGAAUCUUCCACAAUGGACGAAAGUCUGAUGGAGCAACGCCGCGUGAGUGAAGAAGGGUUUCGGCUCGUAAAGCUCUGUUGUCGGGGACGAAUGUGCAGUAUUAGAAUAAAGUACUGCAAUGACGGUACCUGACGAGGAAGCCACGGCUAACUACGUGCCAGCCGCCGCCGUAA
This 524-nucleotide ribosomal RNA is filed under the name uncultured bacterium. RNAcentral describes it as "partial 16S ribosomal RNA". It matches the Rfam family "Bacterial small subunit ribosomal RNA", at positions 28 to 523 of the family's 1533-position model. The record is from RNAcentral.